AAACAUAGAUCGAAUUUAACCAAUUUUAUCCGCCCGGGAAUUACGGACAUUAGUCUAAAAACCAAAGGACUUGGCGGUGCUUCACAUCCACCUAGAGGAGCCUGUUCUAUAACCGAUAACCCCCGUUGAACCUCACCCCCCCUUGCCCGUCCCGCCUAUAUACCGCCGCCGUCAGCCUACCCUGAGAAGGACUAAUCGUACGCAGAAUUGGCACAGCCCAAAACGUCAGGUCGAGGUGUAGCGAAUGGAGGGGGAAGAAAUGGGCUACAUUUGCUUACCCCAAGCAAACACGAAUGUCUUCGCUGAAAAACGAAACUGAAGGAGGAUUUAGCAGUAAGAGGGGAUCAGAGCGCCCC
RNAcentral lists this ribosomal RNA (356 nucleotides) under Laeops kitaharae. RNAcentral describes it as "partial 12S ribosomal RNA". It matches the Rfam family "Bacterial small subunit ribosomal RNA", at positions 837 to 1360 of the family's 1533-position model. The record is from RNAcentral. Lineage: Eukaryota; Metazoa; Chordata; Actinopteri; Pleuronectiformes; Bothidae.